UAAAUAAAAUGACUACCUCACAAUUUGAAACUAAAAACAACUCAAAGCCUAAAUCCCCCGUUGUUCCUUCUCUCAGACUUCCUUCCCUUUGAUCGCACAUAUGAUUUGGUAUGGCUGUGUGCCAUGCCAGGAGCUAGUACAAGCGUUCUUUGGAUAUCUUAGGAGAACCCGAAUUCUCGCAAUNUUUGGUCCUGGCCAAUCUCUAGCAAUUGAGCCAAUUCCCUUUUCAGCUGCUUCACCUGUGCUUAUCUCUUAUUCUUUAAUAAAUUUAUGCGUAAAGCCAUAAGCUUAAAAGACAUUUUC
Molecule: unclassified non-coding RNA, 303 nt
Filed under: Hevea brasiliensis (rubber tree)
Lineage: Eukaryota; Viridiplantae; Streptophyta; Magnoliopsida; Malpighiales; Euphorbiaceae
Source: RNAcentral